CACCCGCGCCACAAGUGGCAAUCAGUUUUAUUGGGCCUAAAGCGUCCGUAGCCGGCUUGAAAAAUCUUUUGUGAAAUUGUUGCGCUUAACGUAACAGCAUGCAAAAGACACUGCCAAGCUUGGGACCGGGAGGAGUCAGAGGUAUUUCUGGGGGAGCGGUAAAAUGCGAUAAUCCUAGAAGGACCACCUAUGGCGAAGGCAUCUGACCAGAACGGAUCCGACGGUGAGGGACGAAAGCCAGGGGAGCAAACCGG
This 254-nucleotide ribosomal RNA is filed under the name uncultured bacterium. RNAcentral describes it as "partial 16S ribosomal RNA". It matches the Rfam family "Archaeal small subunit ribosomal RNA", at positions 474 to 727 of the family's 1478-position model. The record is from RNAcentral.